This 36-nucleotide ribosomal RNA is filed under the name Verruciconidia persicina. RNAcentral's name for it is "Acremonium persicinum partial 18S ribosomal RNA". The record is from RNAcentral. Lineage: Eukaryota; Fungi; Ascomycota; Sordariomycetes; Hypocreales; Bionectriaceae.
CAAGUCUCCGUUGGUGAACCAGCGGAGGGAUCAUUA